This is a long non-coding RNA of Ficedula albicollis (Collared flycatcher), 1187 nucleotides long. RefSeq lists it as uncharacterized. NCBI's taxonomy places the organism in Eukaryota, Metazoa, Chordata, Aves, Passeriformes, Muscicapidae. The transcript has 4 exons. The record is from RefSeq and is a predicted model, not a curated record.
UGGCCAAUGCCACCAUCAGCCCCGGUCCCCCGGCACUCCAGGUGUGCCCAGGUGACCCCGUGACCCUGCGCUGCUCAGUGCAGGUGGGCUCAGCCCCUGUCACCUUCACCUGGCUGCACGACGGGCACGAGGUGGCCCGGGGUCCCCUCCUGGAGCUUGGGGCCGUCGAUGUGGGACAUUCGGGCACCUACCAGUGCGUGGCCACCAACCAGCUGGGACAGGACGGGCACCGCGUGUUCCGGGCACUCAGCCCAGAGCUGGCCCUGGAGGUGACACCACAGGGAACCACUGGACACCACUGGAACACAGUGGCUGUGAAUGUCGGCAGAACCCUCCUGUACCUGCUCCUGCUCCUGGCUGUCAUCGGGGGCUGUGGCUGGUGGCACCGCCGGGCUUUCAGGAAGCAGCAGGAACGGCCUCGCCAGGAGCCCUCGGCCCCACCGGAGGAGGGGGCGGUGCUAGAGCCCCAUGUGGUGGGCAUCGAGCGGUCAGGGGGUGAGUACAGAGGGGGACACGGACACAUCACCCCCUCCCACCACAUCCCCCAGGUGACCCAUGCAGAGCUCCCAGGAUCCCACGGGCGACAGCGGGACUCCAGUGACAUCUAUGAGAACGUGCUGUAACAUUGGGGACACUGGGGGUACUGGAGACAAUGGUAAAACUGGGUGCACGGAAGGUCCCUGCCCAAGGGCAACCGCUGUGUGUCUCCCCCCGUCAACUCCCGUGGGUGCCCACCCUGCCCGGAGGUGGCCACGAGCGGGGGGGCCCCAUAUGGGGCUUCCCAGAGCUCCCCGUUCCAGUGCUCCCAGUGCUCCCGAUACACCCAGAGGCUUCCUCAGUGCCAGGUGACACAGGACCCUUGUCCCUCUUAUUAGACACAAAACGCAGCUCCGCGGUUAAACCGGGAGAAAUGGUUUUGGUUUGUUCAGCUCUGCCUGCUCAGCAGGGAAGGAGGAGGGUCCCAGUCAGGUUGUUGAGCAGAUCCUUGUGAGAUUUGCAGGAUUUUUGGGGCUCUCUCAGUGCCUUGGGGACAGGCACCAAACGAUCAAUCGCUGCAUUUCUGGACUGGUUCCCCCGCAGAGGGGAAGGAGCUGCCGCUCCCUGUUUGUCCCCUCUUGGUGACACCGGCCAAGGGCUCGGGGACCUCGGGGUGGCCACGGGCCCCGAUCCCGCAGCUGCCGAGCCCC